This 350-nucleotide ribosomal RNA is filed under the name Candidatus Protochlamydia sp. RNAcentral's name for it is "bacterial SSU rRNA". It matches the Rfam family "Bacterial small subunit ribosomal RNA", at positions 790 to 1140 of the family's 1533-position model. The record is from RNAcentral. Lineage: Bacteria; Pseudomonadati; Chlamydiota; Chlamydiia; Parachlamydiales; Parachlamydiaceae.
GUAGUCCUUGCUGUAAACGAUGUAUACUUGGUGUAACUGGACUCAACCCCAGUUGUGCCGUAGCUAACGCGUUAAGUAUACCGCCUGGGGAGUACAGUCGCAAGGCUGAAACUCAAAAGAAUUGACGGGGACCCGCACAAGCAGUGGAGCAUGUGGUUUAAUUCGAUGCAACGCGAAGAACCUUACCCAGACUUGACAUGUAGUAGACCGGUCUAGAAAUAGACCUUUCCUUCGGGACUGCUGCACAGGUGCUGCAUGGCUGUCGUCAGCUCGUGCCGUGAGGUGUUGGGUUAAGUCCCGCAACGAGCGCAACCCUUAUCAUUAGUUGCCAGCAUUUCGGAUGGGAACUC